UAGUAAAAAUCAGUAAAUUUCUAAAAUCUGUGAAAAUUUUUAAUUUCUCUAUGGAUAAAUUCCCAUUUUCCUGUUGAUUUUUACUCAUUUUUUUUUUCCUAGUUCCAAAUUUCCUACUCUUAAUUUGGGGGAAAAAAGUUUUCUUUUGUUCGGGUAGUAUAAUAUCCGUAUGUACAUGGAAAUACAAGUUUUGGAAAAGAAAAUUAAAAUUUCUAUUCGUAUACUUAAAAAUGCGCUUGAUGUGAAUUGUAAAAUUUGUUUUAUUAAUGUUAUAUGUCUUGAGUAAUUGAAGUUUCAAAUUUCUAUUUAACUUUUACCAUAGAUAUUUAUGUAAUUAGUAGGAUCAUGAAAAACCCAAGACACGUUGAGUGAUUGAGAUUGAUGUAAGAGAAGGAUCUAAUUCUUUGCUUUCCUUUCCUCUUAUAUGAGUGAGUUCUGUACUUACAUACAUGUGUUAUAUGUAUACUGUAUGUGUUGGUGUAUAUAUUGAGAUUGGAAUUUUGCAGAGGGUUAGAUAGGAGUGGGGUAGGGAAAAUGAAGUUGCAGUAGAUCAUGAGGACAAGCAUAAGACAAAAGAUGAGAAGAUUAAUAAUUUUUAAUAUAAAGUCUGUCUAUCACUCGCAGCAUCCAUGUGUUUGUGUUCAGAGAUGUUGCAUGAUUAUGUUAAAGGUUUUUCUGUAUUAAAAUAGGUUUUAUUAAUUUAUUUUUGGUGUUGAUGAAAUGAACUUCCUCUUGCCAUUAUUAUAAUUGUUCGGUAUUACCAUAAGAAGACCCAGAUAGUGGAUGUUGGCCUUGGUGUAGAUACAUACAAUAGUCUUUAUGCCAUGCCAAGUUCUUUUUACCCCUUUUGCACCAUCUUUGGGUUAAAAUCAUGAUGACAAGCACUGAACUUAUGUUCUAAUUAUGGCCUAUUUGAAUUUCGACAGCUAGAUUGCUAAAUCUAGAUUUGAGAGAAGCCCAGUGCUACUUGAUUUUGAGUUGGUCAAAUAUUCUUUUUUUAGGGGCUAAAAUGGGUGGUUUUUCUUAUCCUUUAAUCUUUAGAUUAUUUGGAGUGAAGAAGAAGGUUUCUUUUUAAAAAUAAAAAUAAAAAUAAAAAAAUCCUCCUCUCUCUCUUUUGUUUUCUCCUCAAUCAUCUGCAAUCAAUGGUGUGGACUGUGGUGGAACUAUGAUUUGUUUUCCUUUGACCUUUCCUUUUCUCUGUUUUUGUAUUAAGGGUGAAUUCAAAAGUUAGGUUAAACUUCUAAUUUCCUUUUGAAAGUAGGAAUAUUAGGAUCGAUCAGUAAAUUAUUGUAUGCUUAUAGUUGAUUGAAUUAUAAAUGAGUUUUAAAAGCAAAUGAAGGUGCAGGUAAACAUUUUCUUGUGGGGAGAUCAUGUUAAUAAAGUAUUUGAUAAUAUUGUUAUUCCAUUACAGAAAAAUAUAAACUAUGGCCUGUGUGGAUGGGAAUUUAUAUAGUAGGAUGAGUCAUAUGUGUCAACAAUAAUUGAAAAGUGGAGUAGGGCGGCAGACUUUUGUUUUCUAUGUGGAGUAAGGAAUACGCUUAUAAUAGAAGAAUUUAAGCGUCAAUUUCAUAGAAAAAGACAGGUCUGAGAAAAUGUCACACCUUUCUUCUCCCUUCAUCUUUCCUUUGUUAAUUAAAUCACAAAAAAAUAAAAGGAUGAUAAAGGAGAUACUUUAUAAUUGUGUUUUGUCUGAAGUCCAUCACGAAAAUCUCUCGGGAAUUUGUUAAUUUUUAUAGACUCGAGUGUGUUUAUUUAUGAUUGUCUUAAUUUGUGAUUUGCUAUAUCAUCCCCGACCCAUUAGCAUGGAGUAUUGUAACGGUGAGCUGCUGCUGCUGCUGCUGCUGCAACUUGAUAAAGGUAUGUUUGCUUUAGAGAAAUUAUAAAGGUGUAUGAGUUGGACCAUUCUCGGAUGGUUAAGUUUCUUUCCCAAAUGGCUUUAAUGGAAUUGAAAAGAGAUCCCAGUUGGUUACAACUGCAUGUUAUGUGAUGCUACCAUUCUGAAUUUAUUGAGUCAAUAUCUUGUCUUCUUUUUCCCUUUUCUCUUUUCCACGCAUCCAUCACAUUCACAUAUAUGUAUAUAUACAUGUAUACAUCUUCUUCUUGGAGAAUAAAAGAGAGAAUACAUAGCAUAUACAUAUACUGCAAGGAAAUUGUUUCGUUUUCUUUUCAGCAACCUGGAAGAAAGAAAAGUUGUGUAAAGAAACAAAGAGAUGCUCGGCAAGAGUAGUAUCCAAACAUAUGAUCUUUUGACCAACACGGCCUCUUUUGCCAGCUCGUUGCUCUUCAAAAAUGCUCUUAAUUCAUCCACAGUCUCUUUCCCAUUCAUUCCCAAAAUCCUGCACUCGUAUAUAUAUAUAUGUGUGUUAGUAUGUAAGUAGUUGGUCAAAGUAAGCGUCGGAAUAUAUAAUAUAUAAGAUGUACGCAAUUAAUUAAUUACCCGUUGAGUUUGCAAGCAAUGGUUGAUUCUGCGAAUUGGUGAGUGCUUCUGAGACUCAAGCUUCCGCACAGCCUGUAAUUUUUCUGCAGAUGAUACUUCUGGUGUUCAUUCUCUGCCAUGUAGAAAACCGAAUCGAGCUCCAUCAGCCUCGUCAAGAUCCUCCUGUUCAGCUUCAUUUGCCGUCUGAUUUUCGACUUCUGCGCCUGCUUCCUCUCCUCUUCCUCCCCGUAAAAGAUGGCUGAUCUCCGGUGUCCGCUCACUCCAAAAUUCUGCACCAUUCAACUCGGUAUUCAUAUUCAUAUAUGUAUAUAACAUCUCAUGAUGUAUGCACGUAUGUAUAUACCAACAUACCAGGUGGUCUCUGUUGGUUGGAUCGUGAGUUUCCCAGAAGAUAUCACACAGUUUUUCAUACGAUACUUUUCUUGUAUCGUAUAUGACCAUUACAGCCUCUGUGGGUUUCUUCAGGGUUCCUCCACAAUAGCCUGUAGCUGUCUUGACAAUUCCAUUUACAGCUCCCAAGGCUGCUUCCAGAUCCAGAAAACUACCUGUAUAAUGCUCAUGUAUCAGUAUCUACAAUAUAGGCACGCACACACACGCACACACACACACACACACACACAUAUAUAUAUAUAUAUAUAUAUACCUCCUGCAAAAACUGCUUCUCUGAGGAAAUUUGAUGGAACAAGAGUUGGUGAUGUGGUUUUGGAGAUUAGAAGAUCAGAAACUUGGGUGUCUAACUGAGGAAGUAACUUGUACAUGGUGUUCAAAUUGAAGAUCAGUAAUUUGCAUCUCAAGCUUUAUAAAAAAAAAAAUGGUGAUACAAUAUUCAAACAAUGUAUUAUAUAUAUAUAUAUAUGUAUAUAGCUCUAAGCGCAGAUGUAAUGCA
Non-coding RNA from Carica papaya (papaya), 3323 nucleotides. Lineage: Eukaryota; Viridiplantae; Streptophyta; Magnoliopsida; Brassicales; Caricaceae. The record is from RefSeq and is a predicted model, not a curated record.